UGAGGAACAUGACUUUCGGUGGGGGAGUAGCCGGCCCAACGGCCGGGUAAUACCGCGUACGACCACUUGGGGACAUCCCCGAAUGGUGAAAGCAGCAAUGCGCCGAAAGAGUGCCUCGCGGCCUAUCAGCUAGUUGGUGAGGUAAUGGCUCACCAAGGCGACGACGGGUAGCUGGUCUGAGAGGGUGAUCAGCCACAUUGGGACUGAGACACGGCCCAGACUCCUACGGGAGCAG
This 235-nucleotide ribosomal RNA is filed under the name uncultured bacterium. RNAcentral describes it as "partial 16S ribosomal RNA". It matches the Rfam family "Bacterial small subunit ribosomal RNA", at positions 118 to 347 of the family's 1533-position model. The record is from RNAcentral.